UUUGGAAUAUUGGACAAUGGGCGAAAGCCUGAUCCAGCGACGCCGCGUGGACGAUGAAGGCCUUCGGGUCGUAAAGUCCUUUUGCUUGGGAAAAAUCUUUGAUUGUACCAAGAGAAUAAGAGGUUGCUAACUCUGUGCCAGCAGCAGCGGUAAUACAGAGACCUCAAGCGUUAUCCGGAAUCAUUGGGCGUAAAGCGUACCGAUAGGUGGUUUAGAAAGUCAGAAGUGAAAUCUCCGAGCUUAACUCGGAAUCUGUCUUUUGAAACUUCUAAACUAGAGGGGCAAAGAGGAAGCUGGAACAAACGGUGUAGUAGUGAAAUGCGUUGAUAUCGUUUGGAACACCAAUAGCGUAGGCAGGCUUCUGGGUGCCACCUGACACUGCUAGGACGAAAGCGUGGGUAGCGAUAAGG
This 410-nucleotide ribosomal RNA is filed under the name uncultured bacterium. RNAcentral describes it as "bacterial SSU rRNA". It matches the Rfam family "Bacterial small subunit ribosomal RNA", at positions 355 to 776 of the family's 1533-position model. The record is from RNAcentral.